UGGGGAAUAUUGGACAAUGGGCGAAAGCCUGAUCCAGCCAUGCCGCGUGUGUGAAGAAGGCCUUUUGGUUGUAAAGCACUUUAAGUGGGGAGGAAAAGCUUAUGGUUAAUACCCAUAAGCCCUGACGUUACCCACAGAAUAAGCACCGGCUAACUCUGUGCCAGCAGCCGCGGCAAUACAGAGGGUGCAAGCGUUAAUCGGAAUUACUGGGCGUAAAGCGCGCGUAGGUGGUUAUUUAAGUCAGAUGUGAAAGCCCCGGGCUUAACCUGGGAACUGCAUCUGAUACUGGAUAACUAGAGUAGGUGAGAGGGGAGUAGAAUUCCAGGUGUAGCGGUGAAAUGCGUAGAGAUCUGGAGGAAUACCGAUGGCGAAGGCAGCUCCCUGGCAUCAUACUGACACUGAGGUGCGAAAGCGUGGGUAGCAAACAGGAUUAGAUACCCUGGUAGUCCACGCCGUAAACGAUGUCUACCAGUCGUUGGGUCUUUUAAAGACUUAGUGACGCAGUUAACGCAAUAAGUAGACCGCCUGGGGAGUACGGCCGCAAGGUUA
RNAcentral lists this ribosomal RNA (549 nucleotides) under uncultured bacterium. Its description in RNAcentral is "bacterial SSU rRNA". It matches the Rfam family "Bacterial small subunit ribosomal RNA", at positions 355 to 896 of the family's 1533-position model. The record is from RNAcentral.